CGAAUUCCAAGCUUAAGUUUGAUCCUGGCUCAUAUUGAACGCUGGCGGCAUGCCUUACACAUGCCAGUCGAACGGUAACAGGUCUUCGGAUGCUGACUAGUGGCGAACGGGUGAGUAAUACAUCGGAACGUGCCCGAUCGUGGGGGAUAACGGAGCGAAAGCUUUGCUAAUACCGCAUACGAUCUACCGAUGAAAGCGGGGGAUCUUCGGACCUCGCGCGGACGGAGCGGCCGAUGGCAGAUUAAGUAGUUGGUGGGAUAAAAGCUUACCCCCCCUACGAUCUGUAUCUGGUCUGAGAGGAUGAUCAGCCACACUGGGACUGAAACACGGCCCAUACUCCUACGGGAGGCACCAGUGGGGAAUUUUGGACAAUGGGCACAGGCCUGAUCCAGCCAUGCCGCGUGCAGGAUGAAGGCCUUCGGGUUGUAAACUGCUUUUGUACGGAACGAAAAGGUGCCUUCUAAUAAAGGGCGCUCAUGACGGUACCGUAAGAAUAAGCACCGGCUAACUACGUGCCAGCAGCCGCGGUAAUACGUAGGGUGCAAGCGUUAAUCGGAAUUACUGGGCGUAAAGCGUGCGCAGGCGGUUUUGUAAGACAGAGGUGAAAUCCCCGGGCUCAACCUGGGAACUGCCUUUGUGACUGCAAGGCUGGAGUGCGGCAUAGGGGGAUGGAAUUCCGCGUGUAGCACUGAAAUGCGUAGAUAUGCGGAGGAACACCGAUGGCGAAGGCAAUCCCCUGGGCCUGCACUGACGCUCAUGCACGAAAGCGUGGGGAGCAAACAGGAUUAGAUACCCUGGUAGUCCACGCCCUAAACGAUGUCACUGGUUGUUGGGUAUUAAUUUACUCAGUCACGAAGCUAACGCGUGAAGUUGACCGCCUGGGGAGUACGGGCCGCAAGGUUGAAACUCAGAUGACAUCGACUGUGCACGCACAACAGCGGUGGAUGAUGUGCUUUAAUUCGAUGCAACGCGAAAACCUUACCUACCUAUGACAUGUAUGGAUCCCGAUAGAUUCGGGAGUGCUCUCAUGAGAGUCAUACACCGCUGCUGCAUGAUGUCGUCAGCUCGUGUCGCUGAGAUGUGGUAGUACCCCACGACGUCAUCCUGCCAUACUGCUACGAAAGGCACUCUACGGUGACUGCCGGUGACCAACGGAGGCACGUGAUC
RNAcentral lists this ribosomal RNA (1167 nucleotides) under uncultured beta proteobacterium. RNAcentral describes it as "bacterial SSU rRNA". It matches the Rfam family "Bacterial small subunit ribosomal RNA", at positions 1 to 1181 of the family's 1533-position model. Lineage: Bacteria; Pseudomonadati; Pseudomonadota; Betaproteobacteria. The record is from RNAcentral.